RNAcentral lists this ribosomal RNA (254 nucleotides) under uncultured bacterium. Its description in RNAcentral is "partial 16S ribosomal RNA". It matches the Rfam family "Bacterial small subunit ribosomal RNA", at positions 524 to 776 of the family's 1533-position model. The record is from RNAcentral.
UACGGAAGGGGCAAGCGUUGUUCGGAAUCAUUGGGCGUAAAGGGCGCGUAGGUGGUUCUGUAUGUCUACCGUGAAAGCAUACAGCUCAACUGUAUUUUGUCGGUAGAAACUGCAGGACUUGAGGCUGGGAGGGGCUGGUGGAAUUCCCUGUGUAGCGGUGAAAUGCGUAGAGAUGGGGGGAGAACACUCGUGGCGAAGGCGGCCAGCUAGACCAGUUCUGACACUGAGGCGCGACAGCGUGGGGAGCAAACAGG